GUAAUAUUCUAAUGGUAGAAUUUCAGAAUCAUAGCAACUAGGAAGAAAAUAUUUUUAUAAAUCUUUUUUUUUCUUUCUUUUUGGUACUGGGAAUCAAACUCAGGACCUUGCACUUGCCAGGCAGGUGUGAUUACCACUGAGCUACAUCCCUGGCCCCAGAAGAAAAUAUUUUUAGUCAAGAGCACCUUCACAAAAUGUAAGAUUCAGGAUGGCGAGUUCUUGGAAAACUUUUACAAUCUAACACAGGAACAGGCACUUCUUGGAGUGAAUGAAAGAAUGAAUAUAUGA
Molecule: long non-coding RNA, 288 nt
Filed under: Fukomys damarensis (Damara mole-rat)
Lineage: Eukaryota; Metazoa; Chordata; Mammalia; Rodentia; Bathyergidae
Description: lncRNA (ENSFDAG00000028332.1)
Source: RNAcentral